GAAUAUUGGGCAAUGGACGCAAGUCUGACCCAGCCAUGCCGCGUGCAGGAUGAAGGCCUUCUGGGUUGUAAACUGCUUUUAUCUAGGAAGAAAACGCCCAUGCGUGGGAAACUGACGGUACUAGAUGAAUAAGCACCGGCUAACUCCGUGCCAGCCGCCGCGGUAAUACGGAGGGUGCAAGCGUUGUCCGGAUUUAUUGGGUUUAAAGGGUGCGUAGGCGGCCCGGUAAGUCAGUGGUGAAAGCCUCCAGCUCAACUGGAGAACUGCCAUUGAUACUGCCGGGCUUGAGUACAGACGAGGUUGGCGGAAUUGAUUGUGUAGCGGUGAAAUGCAUAGAUACAAUCAAGAACUCCGAUUGCGUAGGCAGCUAACUAGGCUGUAACUGACGCUGAGGCACGAAAGCGUGGGGAGCGAACAGG
Molecule: ribosomal RNA, 419 nt
Filed under: uncultured bacterium
Lineage: Bacteria
Description: bacterial SSU rRNA
Rfam family: Bacterial small subunit ribosomal RNA
Source: RNAcentral